This 253-nucleotide ribosomal RNA is filed under the name uncultured bacterium. RNAcentral describes it as "partial 16S ribosomal RNA". It matches the Rfam family "Bacterial small subunit ribosomal RNA", at positions 524 to 776 of the family's 1533-position model. The record is from RNAcentral.
UACGGAGGGGGCUAGCGUUGUUCGGAAUUACUGGGCGUAAAGCGCGCGUAGGCGGCUUUGUAAGUUAGAGGUGAAAGCCCGGAGCUCAACUCCGGAACUGCCUUUAAGACUGCAUCGCUAGAAUUGUGGAGAGGUGAGUGGAAUUCCGAGUGUAGAGGUGAAAUUCGUAGAUAUUCGGAAGAACACCAGUGGCGAAGGCGGCUCACUGGCCCGGUACUGACGCUGAGGUGCGAAAGCGUGGGGAGCAAACAGG